UAGGGAAUCUUCCGCAAUGGACGAAAGUCUGACGGAGCAACGCCGCGUGAGUGAAGAAGGAUUUCGGUUCGUAAAACUCUGUUGUUAGGGAAGAAAAAAUGUAUAGUAACUAUAUACAAAAGAGACGGUACCUAACCAGAAAGCCACGGCUAACUACGUGCCAGCAGCCGCGGUAAUACGUAGGUGGCAAGCGUUGUCCGGAAUUAUUGGGCGUAAAGCGCGCGCAGGUGGUUUAGAAAGUCUGAUGUGAAAGGCAGUGGCUCAACCAUUGUAGGCUUUGGAAACUGUUUAACUUGAGUGCAGAAGGGGAGAGUGGAAUUCCAUGUGUAGCGGUGAAAUGCGUAGAUAUAUGGAGGAACACCGGUGGCGAAAGCGGCUCUCUGGUCUGUAACUGACGCUGAGGCUCGAAAGCGUGGGGAGCGAACAGG
RNAcentral lists this ribosomal RNA (428 nucleotides) under Verrucomicrobiota bacterium. RNAcentral's name for it is "Verrucomicrobia bacterium partial 16S ribosomal RNA". It matches the Rfam family "Bacterial small subunit ribosomal RNA", at positions 355 to 776 of the family's 1533-position model. Lineage: Bacteria; Pseudomonadati; Verrucomicrobiota. The record is from RNAcentral.